AAGGGCACCACAAGAACGCGUGGAGAUGUGGUUAAUUUCACUCAACGCGAGAAAUCUUACUGGGUCCGUACACACUGAGGAUUGACAUUCAAUAUUAAAAAAAUUGAAUAUAUUUAAUUAUAUAUUUUAAUUUUUUUAUGUUAAAUAUGCUAGUCCUUUCAUGAUUAUGUGAUAGGUGGUGCAUGGCCGUUUCUUAGUUCGUGGAGUGAUCUGUCUGCUUUAAUUGCGUUUCACUAAGGGCUUAUAUUUAUAAUACGUGUGUUGACGGGCACUUUUGACCCCUUUAUGUUGCAUUGAAAUAUAUGUGAUAUAAAUGUGCGUGUCUUAGUAUUUAGCUUAGUCUCGCACAAAUGUAGUCCUGAAAGCAACGAACGUGACCGCAACCUCUUGUUGCCUUUUCAAUUACACAACAUUUUAACAUUUUAUAUGUUAUUAUGUUAAAAAAAAGGCCUUUAAACUAGAGGGACCCGCUGUAAUCUUUUUAAAACCAGAGGAAGGUUGCGGCAAUAACAGGUCUGUGAUGCCCUUAGAUGUUCCGGGGCUGCACACGUGCUACAAUGAUUAUUGCAGUGAGCAUCCCAUUUUUUACACACUGUAGUGCGAGUCCAUUUAUUGACUUAACAUUCACGUUAAUGUACUUUAAAUGUGUUACUUUGCGCACAGUAAAGCCUGCUUCGAAAGUAAGUGGGUAAUCAAUUAGAAGUAAUGAUUUCCCGUAAAUAUAAAUUUAUUUUAUAUUUAAUAGCACACAUAUAUACGGCAUCUUUACCCAACGCACAGCUUGUCUGUCGUUUUGUGUGUAUUGAUGUAACAAUUUUCCGUAUGUGCAAUUGUCAAUUCAUGGUGGGGACAGACCAUUGUUAAUUGUUGGUCUCGGUCUUAACUAGGAAUGCCUUGUACGGGUCUUUGGUUCAACAAACCACCCGGAAUACGUCCCUGCCCUUUGUACACACCGCCCGUCGCUCUUACCGAUGGACUUCUCUGUGAGUUUGAGGGACUGGGUUAAUUUAUUAAUAAUUAAAUUUAUUUAAUUUUAAUAUCCUCUGGAAACUUAAACGAACAGUGUGGUCUAAAGGAAAGAGAAGUCGAACAAGGCA
This 1097-nucleotide ribosomal RNA is filed under the name Eggerella sp. 13131. RNAcentral describes it as "bacterial SSU rRNA". It matches the Rfam family "Eukaryotic small subunit ribosomal RNA", at positions 1160 to 1801 of the family's 1831-position model. Lineage: Eukaryota; Foraminifera; Textulariida; Eggerellidae. The record is from RNAcentral.